UCGUCAGUAAGGUUAAUCCUUACCUGUUCCUCCUUUUGGAGAACAGAGAUAAAAUGAUGAUUGGAGCUCUCAUGAUACGUGAUAGCGUCUCCGUGUGAGCAGGACUUGCAACAUCCUGUUUGCUCCUAUCUGAU
Molecule: small nucleolar RNA, 134 nt
Filed under: Echinops telfairi (small Madagascar hedgehog)
Lineage: Eukaryota; Metazoa; Chordata; Mammalia; Afrosoricida; Tenrecidae
Description: U8 small nucleolar RNA (ENSETEG00000023171.1)
Rfam family: U8 small nucleolar RNA
About the family: U8 is a member of the C/D class of snoRNA which contain the C (UGAUGA) and D (CUGA) box motifs.
Source: RNAcentral